RNAcentral lists this unclassified non-coding RNA (254 nucleotides) under uncultured fungus. RNAcentral describes it as "sequence contains ITS2". The stretch from base 1 to 52 matches the Rfam family "5.8S ribosomal RNA", at positions 103 to 154 of the family's 154-position model. RNAcentral also lists the same sequence under 1 other name. The record is from RNAcentral. Lineage: Eukaryota; Fungi.
AACGCACAUUGCGCCCGCCAGUACUCUGGCGGGCAUGCCUGUCCGAGCGUCAUUUCAACCCUCGAGCAACCCGCUCGGCGUUGGGGACCUACGGCGCACUGCCGUAGCCCCCUAAAACCACCGGCGACGCCGCCGCGGCUUCUUUGCGUAGUAACACAACCUCGCACUGGAACGCUGCCGUGCCUGCCGCUAAAACCGCCCUACGGCACUAUAAGGUUGACCUCGGAUCAGGUAGGAAUACCCGCUGAACUUAA